This 1242-nucleotide small RNA is filed under the name Pan troglodytes (chimpanzee). RNAcentral's name for it is "processed transcript". Lineage: Eukaryota; Metazoa; Chordata; Mammalia; Primates; Hominidae. The record is from RNAcentral.
UACAAAGUAAAUGCUAACAUUAAAAGUGUUUAUCACAGGUGAAGAUUAUUUUAAAGUUCCUUUAGGAAAUGAAGGUGAGGUACGAGUGAGAAGGUUGAUCAAUCUCACUAGUAAAAGGAACUGAGCUCUAUGAAUUUCAAACCUAUACAUGUACUGUGAAAUCAUGAUGUUAAUACGUAAGUGAACUUAGUAAAGUUAAUAUUCCUCCAGAGGGAGCAGUUUUCUCACUACUCCUGAGCUGUUUGAAAUGUCCUGUGUCACGAUACAACCAAUUUAUCAUGAAGACCAUGGUGUCUUGCUUUUUUCCUUUCUGCCAUAGUGCAUACAUUUGCUGUUUUUCAUCUGAUUCACCUUUACCUCUCUACUUGAUGCUAUAGUACAUUUACAAAUCUGCAAGUAUGCUGCAGAAUACAAAAUAUUGCAAUGCAGUGACAUAGAUUAUACUCAGGCACCAUAGUAAUAAUCAGAACAAGUAGUUCUUAGGAAAAAUUAUGGAGAAGAGUUCAUAAUUGGAAUGAACAUGUUUCUUGUUGCCUCUAAUAUCUCAUGGCUAAUUAUUAUGAACAUAGAAUUGUCAGAUGAACCUAGAAAUGACUGAUAUCACAUUGGUACACUGAUUCUUUUAAUGAAAUAAUAUAGCCUGGUAUUGGGUCCUGAAUUUAGCUGUGUGCUACUAUUAACAUUACACAUGUGCAUCUCUAAAUUUGGUAUAUUUUCCUAUUAGCUUUUCAGAACAGGUGCAACAAUGGCAAAAUCUCAGGUACUACAACCAACUACAAGCGACUAUGAGAAAGGGUUUGUUGAGAGAGCAAGCACAUGUGUCACUAAUGUUAUUCCUCUGUUCUCCCUGCUAACUCUAUUAUUAUAAACCACCAGGGGAUAGAAAUUGACAAGAAUUGAAAUGCUCAGCAGGAUUCCUUGGCCCAUUCAAUUCUUUGCUGGCUCAAAACAGUGCUAGCAAGAAUUGCUGUGGAGAGUGACUAGCACUCAUACACUCACACCAUGCUGAAUUUCUCACUGAUGAAAAUAGUUGUGCAAGAACUGAUGCGAUUUUUACCCCUUACCCCGGAUUUAAAAGUCACGUAAAAGUUUCUAGAGUUGUGAAUACAUACGGACCACAGACUAGACCUGAAGGAAUUCCAGGGUCAGGUCAUAAACCUAACAGCAUGCUUCGAGAUUGUGGUAAUCAGGCUGUAGAAGAACGACUACAAAAUAUUGAGGCCCACUUGCGGUUACAGACAG